CGAACGACAAUGAACAGACUAGUAGGGUAGUAUUAGUUGUUAAGCGAGUCCCGCUGGAUGGGAAGGGACCUUCUAAAAUGCCUGAAUCACAUCUGUGAGUUGGCUCCCUGAAGCAACAGUAGGGGAGCCCGGGGAAGCCCGUUACAGCGCGGAGUUUAAUUUUGAACUCGCUAAGGUUGAUACUCGUGAGGGGUCAACAAGAUGAGGUGGAACCGCGGAAACGCCCUCGUAGCCAUUUGGCUCGGGGGCGUUUUUUGUUUAACGGCUUCAAAAUUGAACUUACCGAGGUGGCCGCUGCGAGGUGGCCGCGAACAUGGGGUGGUACCACGAUUGAUUCGUCCUCUAG
This 346-nucleotide non-coding RNA is filed under the name Limosilactobacillus pontis. RNAcentral describes it as "Lactobacillus pontis T-box sequence". It matches the Rfam family "T-box leader". Rfam says of the family: Uncharged tRNA acts as the effector for transcription antitermination of genes in the T-box leader family. The record is from RNAcentral. Lineage: Bacteria; Bacillati; Bacillota; Bacilli; Lactobacillales; Lactobacillaceae.